Molecule: ribosomal RNA, 512 nt
Filed under: uncultured bacterium
Lineage: Bacteria
Description: bacterial SSU rRNA
Rfam family: Bacterial small subunit ribosomal RNA
Source: RNAcentral
GAGUUUGAUCCUGGCUCAGGACGAACGCUGGCGGCGUGCUUAACACAUGCAAGUCAAGGGGGCCCAGCAAUGGGCAACCGGCGAACGGGUGCGUAACACGUGAGCAACCUACCGAACUGUGGGGGAUAGCCGGCCUAACGGCCGAGUAAUACCGCAUACGCUUUCGAUGAGGCAUUUCAUUGAAAGGAAACCUACGGGACAGAUCGAGGGGCUCGCGGCCUAUCAGCUAGUUGGCGAGGUAACGGCUCACCAAGGCGACGACGGGUAGCUGGUCUGAGAGGAUGGCCAGCCACAUUGGGACUGAGAUACGGCCCAGACUCCUACGGGAGGCAGCAGUGGGGAAUCUUGCGCAAUGGCCUAACGGCUGACGCAGCGACGCCGCGUGUGGGAUGAAGCUCCUCGGAGUGUAAACCACUGUUGCCCGGGACGAAUAGCUCGAUUAAUCGAGCCUGACGGUACCGGGUGAGGAAGCACCGGCUAACUCCGUGCCAGCAGCCGCGGUAGUCGGGCCC